Phalacrocorax carbo (great cormorant) is the source of this 501-nucleotide non-coding RNA. The record is from RefSeq and is a predicted model, not a curated record. Lineage: Eukaryota; Metazoa; Chordata; Aves; Suliformes; Phalacrocoracidae.
UCGCACAAGAGACGUGCAGUGAACCAGAAGCCCGAUGCGAUAUGUCGAGGGAAUCCGUUGCUCGGAGUUGCAGCAGCUUGUAUGCAAAGGGGAACAGCCACAUCCAGGGUCCAGAAAGUCACCACUGCAAGGCAAACGAGGAAUUUUUAAGGUGCCAGAAAAUGUGUGUGUGACAGAAGAAAUAGCAACAGAAAACAUCAAGGAAAGCUUCAUAAAUGUGAGAUCUAUUAAAAUGCAUUAAAGCCUCCAAAGAAGAACACUUCACCGUCUCAGAUGCACAAAACCAGCCUGGAGGAAGUGCUAAGAGAAUGUAGAAGGAUUGGUCCUGCAGUGGCUGCAGAUGACCCGGGUGUGUAACACCUCCUCGCUCCACCUUCCAAAGCACCUGCAGGGAGCAGUGCAUAACGUUGGAAAGGAAGUUGGUGAGAUUGCACUUGGAGCACUUGACACCCUCAUGACACUUCCUUGAAGUGGAUGCAAACCGGAAAGAUGAGCUCCUGG